ACAUUGCGGUGAUUCAGCACAUGCUAGUCGACGAGAAAUUCCGCUUCGGCGGGAGAGUAAAGUGGCGCACGGGUGAGUAACGCGUGGGUAAUUUGCCCUUGAGAUCGGGAUAACCCUGCGAAAGCGGGGCUAAUACCGGAUAAGACCACGGCCUGUUCGCGGGCAGUGGUAAAAGGCGGCCUAUACAUGUAAGCUGUUGCUCAAGGAUAAGCCCGCGUACCAUUAGCUUGUUGGUGGGGUAAUGGCCCACCAAGGCGACGAUGGUUAGCUGAUCUGAGAGGAUGGUCAGCCACACUGGAACUGAGACACGGUCCAGACUCCUACGGGAGGCAGCAGUGGGGAAUCUUGCGCAAUGGGGGAAACCCUGACGCAGCAACGCCGCGUGAGUGAUGAAGGCCUUCGGGUCGUAAAGCUCUGUCAGACGGGAAGAAGAAGCCUGGUGAUAAUACCAUCAGGAGUUGACGGUACCGCCAAAGGAAGCGCCGGCUAACUCCGUGCCAGCAGCCGCGGUAAUACGGAGGGCGCAAGCGUUGUUCGGAUUUAUUGGGCGUAAAGGGCGUGUAGGCGGUCAGAUAAGUCUGGUGUGAAAGCCCUUGGCUCAACCAAGGAAUGUCGCUGGAAACUGUCUGGCUUGAGUACGAGAGAGGAGAGUGGAAUUCCCGGUGUAGAGGUGAAAUUCGUAGAUAUCGGGAGGAACACCGGUGGCGAAGGCGGCUCUCUGGCUCGAUACUGACGCUGAGACGCGAAAGCGUGGGGAGCAAACAGGAUUAGAUACCCUGUAGUCCACGCCGUAAACGUUGGGCACUAGGUGUGGGAGGUAUCAACUCCUUCUGUGCCGAAGCUAACGCAUUAAGUGCCCCGCCUGGCACUACGGCCGCAAGGCUA
RNAcentral lists this ribosomal RNA (885 nucleotides) under uncultured bacterium. Its description in RNAcentral is "bacterial SSU rRNA". It matches the Rfam family "Bacterial small subunit ribosomal RNA", at positions 33 to 896 of the family's 1533-position model. The record is from RNAcentral.